CUUGCCACAUUCAGACGGCUGGGUCUUCAGUUCCCUUCACUGUUAAUGUCUACCAUUUGUCUCUAGAAUCUGUAAGGCGCUGAUGAAUCCAAAAGCUAAAUCCCACGAGCGGUUGGUUUUUGACCAUUUUGAUACACUGUCUACGUACUCAUGUGCUUGGGAGACCCCUAAGUACAAUUACACUCUGUGGGAGCAAAGCAACAGAAUUGGGAGCUCAGAAGAAAGCUCAGCUGAAUUUCAGAAAGGAUGACAAGACAACACAUGAGAAAGAGAGGCGUUUCUUCACUUACUGAG
Mastomys coucha (southern multimammate mouse) is the source of this 294-nucleotide long non-coding RNA. RefSeq lists it as uncharacterized. The record is from RefSeq and is a predicted model, not a curated record. The transcript has 3 exons. NCBI's taxonomy places the organism in Eukaryota, Metazoa, Chordata, Mammalia, Rodentia, Muridae.